RNAcentral lists this ribosomal RNA (513 nucleotides) under Paracercion calamorum. RNAcentral describes it as "partial 16S rRNA". It matches the Rfam family "Bacterial large subunit ribosomal RNA", at positions 1831 to 2597 of the family's 2925-position model. Lineage: Eukaryota; Metazoa; Arthropoda; Insecta; Odonata; Coenagrionidae. The record is from RNAcentral.
GUCCUCAUGUUUAUAUUUGAGGUUUGGCCUGCCCGGUGAUUUUAAUUUAACGGCCGCGGUAUAUUGACCGUGCAAAGGUAGCAUAAUCAUUAGUCUUUUAAUAGGAGGCUGGAAUGAAAGGUUUAACGAAAAAAUUAGCUGUCUCAGUUAUAAAUUUGAAUUUAACUUUUAAGUUAAAAGGCUUAAAUUUUUUUGUAGGACGAGAAGACCCUAUAGAGCUUUACAUUUAAUGUUUUGUUAUAUUAAUUUAGAUUAAUACUUUUAAUUAACUUUAAAAAAUGUUUUGUUGGGGUGACAAGAAAUAUAUAUUUAACUUUUAUUAUUAUAUUUUCAUUAAUUUAUGUUUAUUGGAUCCAAAAUUUUUGAUCAUUAGAAUAAGUUACCUUAGGGAUAACAGCGUAAUCUUCCCUCAGAGUUCAAAUUUACGGGAAGGGUUGCGACCUCGAUGUUGGAUUAAGAUGACAAUUGGGUGCAGUAGCUCAAUUUGUAGGUCUGUUCGACCUUUAAAUUCUU